CAGCCCCCCGAGUGGUAGGGAUGUUUAUUUGGCCUAAAACGUCCGUAGCCGGCUAAGUAAAUUUCUCGUUAAAUCCAACGUCCUAAGCGUUGGGCUGCGAGGAAGACUGCUAAGCUAGAGGGUGGGAGAGGUCAGCGGUAUUCCUGGGGUAGGGGCGAAAUCCUUUGAACCCAGGAGGACCACCAGUGGCGAAGGCUGCUGACUAGAACACGCCUGACGGUGAGGGACGAAAGCUGGGGUAGCGAAUCGGAUUAGAUACCCGAGUAGUCC
This 270-nucleotide ribosomal RNA is filed under the name uncultured archaeon. Its description in RNAcentral is "partial 16S ribosomal RNA". It matches the Rfam family "Archaeal small subunit ribosomal RNA", at positions 477 to 747 of the family's 1478-position model. The record is from RNAcentral.